Molecule: long non-coding RNA, 430 nt
Organism: Bos taurus (domestic cattle)
Lineage: Eukaryota; Metazoa; Chordata; Mammalia; Artiodactyla; Bovidae
Source: Ensembl
CUCCAGAGGAGCAAAGCAGAUCAUAGAGACAGCACCUCAGGAAUGAUCUGGGUACCAAUUCUGGAGAUAAGGCUGGAGCCGAUCACCAGAGCACAAGGGUGGAGUGGGAGUGAUGACGCAGAUCCCAUGCGCUGUGCGGCGCUCUCAGGAAUCCUCACCGCCUCUGGUCACCUGGGCCCGGACUUGUAGCUCUGGCUCUGCCUUCCCAGUUUCCAGCGGAAAAGGGCAGAAGCCUAUGGCUGGUCCUUUUUUCAAAGGAUUGUUUUGGUACCAGAUGCAGACUCUGACACACGGUGCAUGUGGCCCAGCUAGAUUCGCUUUGAGAAAUACGUGCUGCAGGCGUUGGUGUGGAAUGUCUCAAGUUUGUCUUCAUGUGACCGAACCAGACUUGGGUCCAUUUACCCAUGUGCAGUAAAGCCAUUCUACUGAC